RNAcentral lists this ribosomal RNA (476 nucleotides) under uncultured organism. RNAcentral describes it as "partial 16S ribosomal RNA". It matches the Rfam family "Bacterial small subunit ribosomal RNA", at positions 332 to 799 of the family's 1533-position model. The record is from RNAcentral.
UACACUCCUGCGGGAGGCAGCAGUGGGGAAUAUUGCACAAUGGGCGCAAGCCUGAUGCAGCCAUGCCGCGUGUAUGAAGAAGGCCUUCGGGUUGUAAAGUACUUUCAGCGGGGAGGAAGGCGAUAAGGUUAAUAACCUUGUUGAUUGACGUUACCCGCAGAAGAAGCACCGGCUAACUCCGUGCCAGCAGCCGCGGUAAUACGGAGGGUGCAAGCGUUAAUCGGAAUUACUGGGCGUAAAGCGCACGCAGGCGGUCUGUCAAGUCGGAUGUGAAAUCCCCGGGCUCAACCUGGGAACUGCAUUCGAAACUGGCAGGCUAGAGUCUUGUAGAGGGGGGUAGAAUUCCAGGUGUAGCGGUGAAAUGCGUAGAGAUCUGGAGGAAUACCGGUGGCGAAGGCGGCCCCCUGGACAAAGACUGACGCUCAGGUGCGAAAGCGUGGGGAGCAAACAGGAUUAGAUACCCGUGUAGUCCCAUG